AAGAUAAAAACAUGUUAUUAAUACCUUUAGCAACUGUGGAAGCUUUGUCCUUAUAUAACAAAGGUUCACAUGCUGUCCAUGAGUCUGUUGCACCAGAAGAGGGACAAGAAAAUAACUGUGGUGAAAUAACAGGAAAAACUGAGAACACUUUGGUUAAAGUGAAAACUGAGCCACCUGGUGAGUUACAAGAAGAUGAGGCAGUUUUAGGAUUCAUUGUGAGUAACAAUGAUGAUUUUAGUGUGGGAAAAGAAAAUUAAUUUGAAGAAGAGAUGCAUCAACUUAGAAGGUAGACCUCAUCCAGAGAUUUCCAUGAACAACCAUUGUGGAAGAUGAUUUCCUGGUUGUAAUGAUAUGAGAAGCUUCUGAUAGAAAGAACAGCAGUUCUCAGAACCUAAGGUCUGAAGAAGAAUUUAACAAAACAUUUUCUACAGAAAAUAACAUAAAAAGAUGUGAGAAUAUGUACACUGGAGAUGAACCAUACAGUUGUGUUUUGUGUGGUAAGAUAUUUAGUAAAGACAGAAUCUGAGGAUACAUACUGAGGAGAAACCAUAUAGUUGUUUUGUGUGUUCUAAAGAAGGUGACUGCAAGGAUAAAUUUGAAAAAAAUCAGAGGAUUCACAUUGGUGAGAGACAGUACAGUUGUGUAGCAUGUGAUAAAAAGUUUUGAGAAACACUUAACUUAAAAAUACUUCAAUAUAUACACACUUGAGAGAAACCAUAUAGCUGUUUAGUGUGUGGCAAAGAAUUUGGAACAAAUAGUCACUUAAAAAUGCAUCUGAGGAUACACACUGGUGAAAAUCCAUAUAUUUGUACAGGAAAGAACUUGCAAGAAAAAGUGACCUAAACAUCCAUUGCCUGAUACACACUGGUGAGAAACCACAUAAAUGUGAAGUACGUGACAAGGAAUUUGGAAGGAGUACUCACCUAAAAAGAGAUAAAAAAACAACAAAAAACUUGCCUAUGAAACACUAUAUACUUGUGCAGUGUGUGUGUAUGUUAGAGAACAUAGUUAUUUAAAAGUACACUUGAGAGUAUGUAAUGGAGAGAAGUGAUAUAAUUAUAUAGUGUGUGGUAAAGAAUUUAGUAGUAAAGAUCAACUUGAAAUGCAUCACAGAAUACACAUUUGGGGAGAAACUCCAUGUUUUUGGAAUGUGAAAAAGAGCUUGAAAGAAAAAAAAAAGACUUAAGUCAUCAGAAGAUUCAUACGGAUUAAAAACUAUAUAUUUGUGCAAUCUGGCAAUAUGAAUGGAACUGUAUCAUAUAGGUAUUUACUGUGUUAUAAAAAUAUGUAAAUGAAUUAAUAAAUCAUGGGAGUGAUA
Limulus polyphemus (Atlantic horseshoe crab) is the source of this 1318-nucleotide long non-coding RNA. RefSeq lists it as uncharacterized. The record is from RefSeq and is a predicted model, not a curated record. NCBI's taxonomy places the organism in Eukaryota, Metazoa, Arthropoda, Merostomata, Xiphosura, Limulidae. The transcript has 3 exons.